RNAcentral lists this ribosomal RNA (330 nucleotides) under uncultured eukaryote. RNAcentral describes it as "partial 18S ribosomal RNA". It matches the Rfam family "Eukaryotic small subunit ribosomal RNA", at positions 1470 to 1796 of the family's 1831-position model. The record is from RNAcentral.
CCCUUAGAUGUUCUGGGCCGCACGCGCGCUACACUGAUGCAUUCAACGAGUCUAAAACCUGGUCUGAUAGGGCUGGGUAAUCUUUUGAAUGUGCAUCGUGAUUGGGAUAGAUGAUUGCAAUUCUUCAUCUUCAACGAGGAAUGCCUAGUAAACGCAAGUCAUCAGCUUGCAUUGAUUACGUCCCUGCCCUUUGUACACACCGCCCGUCGCUCCUACCGAUUGAAUGUUCCGAUGAAUACCAUGGACUGAGAGUAUGAAUGGGUUCGCCUAUUUCUGCUUCCCGGGAAGUGGAGUAAAUCUUAACAUUUAGAGGAAGGAGAAGUCGUAACA